This 393-nucleotide ribosomal RNA is filed under the name uncultured bacterium. RNAcentral's name for it is "bacterial SSU rRNA". It matches the Rfam family "Bacterial small subunit ribosomal RNA", at positions 28 to 414 of the family's 1533-position model. The record is from RNAcentral.
GAUGAACGCUAGCGGCAGGCUUAAUACAUGCAAGUCGGAGGGGCAGCACGGGUAGCAAUACCUGGUGGCGACCGGCAAACGGGUGCGGAACACGUACGCAACCUUCCCAUAACUGGUGAAUAGCCCUCCGAAAGGAGGAUUAAUACACCGUAACAUAACGAAGUGGCAUCACUUUGUUAUUAUAGGCUUCGGCCGGUUUUGGAUGGGCGUGCGCCUGAUUAGGUAGUUGGCGGGGUAACGGCCCACCAAGCCUGCGAUCAGUAACUGGUGUGAGAGCACGACCAGUCACACGGGCACUGAGACACGGGGCCCGACUCCUACGGGGAGCAGCAGUAAGGAAUAUUGGUCAAUGGACGAAAGUCUGAACCAGCCAUGCCGCGUGAAGGAUUAAGG